AUGUUUACCCAAGUGUUUUUGUACAAGUUCAAGGGCAUCUUGGGUUUUGUGAACAAAAUUUGUUUAUUUGGAACAAGGUUUUGUGUUGAAGCUUUGUAGGUGAAGCUUUGGUGUUGAAGCUUUCUAGGUGAAGCUUUGAUGGUGAAGCUUUGUAAAUGAAGCUUUGUAGAUGAAGCUUUCUAGGUGAAGCUUUGAUGGUGAAGCUUUGAUGGUGAAAGUAUGUAGAGGGAGCUUUCUAGGUGAAGCUUUUUUAGGUGAAGCUGUGUAGGUGAAGCUUUUUUAAGUGAAGCUUUUCGGGUGAAGUUUUUUUGGUGAAGCUUUGUGGGUGAAGCUUUUUAGGUGAAGCUUUGUGGGUGAAGCUUUUUAGGUGAAGCUUUGUGGGUGAAGCUUUUUUAGGUGAAGCUGUUUGGGUGAAGCUUUUUGGAGGUGAAGUUUUUUUUUUUUUUUUUUUUUUUGGGUGAAGCUUUUUUAGGUGAAGCUUUUUGGGUGAAGCUUUGAUGGUGAAGCUUUGUAGAUAAAGCUUUUUUAGGUGAAGCUGUUUGGGUGAAGCUUUUUGGAGGUGAAGUUUUUUUUUUGGGUGAAGCUUUUUUAGGUGAAGCUUUUUGGAUGAAACUUUUUGGAUGAAGCUUUUUGGGUG
This 637-nucleotide long non-coding RNA is filed under the name Malus domestica (apple). RNAcentral describes it as "long non-coding RNA (MDOM_LNC007042)". The record is from RNAcentral. Lineage: Eukaryota; Viridiplantae; Streptophyta; Magnoliopsida; Rosales; Rosaceae.